UACGUAGGUGGCAAGCGUUAUCCGGAAUUAUUGGGCGUAAAGGGUCCGCAGGUGGUGAAUCAAGUCUGUUGUCAAAGCGUGGAGCUUAACUCCAUAAGGGCAAUGGAAACUGAUUGACUAGAGUACAGUAGGGGUUGCGGGAAUUCCCAGUGUAGCGGUGAAAUGCGUAGAUAUUGGGAAGAACACCAGCGGCGAAGGCGCGCGACUGGACUGAGACUGACACUGAGGGACGAAAGCUAGGGGAGCGAAAGGG
Molecule: ribosomal RNA, 253 nt
Filed under: uncultured bacterium
Lineage: Bacteria
Description: partial 16S ribosomal RNA
Rfam family: Bacterial small subunit ribosomal RNA
Source: RNAcentral